This 1100-nucleotide long non-coding RNA is filed under the name Equus asinus (donkey). RNAcentral's name for it is "lncRNA (ENSEASG00005029110.1)". The record is from RNAcentral. Lineage: Eukaryota; Metazoa; Chordata; Mammalia; Perissodactyla; Equidae.
GCAGUGCCGGCGCGCUGCAGGCCGAGCUGGAGGCUGUCCUGGCGGCUCGGUCGUCCGGCCCGGAGCGGCGUGGGAUCACCCAGCCUCUACCGUGAGCCCCAAGACCUGCACUUCAGCCGGAGCUCACCAUGGGGAACCACUUGACCGAGAUGGCGCCCACUGCCUCCUCCUUCUUGCCCCACUUCCAGGCCCAUGUGCCGGCCUACAGCGCUGUGGACGGCUCGGCCUGCAGCCCGGCCUUGAGUGCCUGUAUGAGAUGAUCCUCAAGAGGAAGAAGACUGAAGGUCUUUUGCUUCACCCUGUGUAUGAGCCCAAGCAGUACUUCCAGGUGUGAAAUGUGUUGCUUCCAGAACCCAAAGAGUUUCACUGGGCCCUGGGCUUCCUUCUCAAUGGUCAAGGGGAAGGAAGAGGAAGCAAUUUGCCUUUGCUUUGGAAGGAAUGUCCCGUCCGUCGUCAUCAUCCCAGUUGUCCCCCCGCCCCCCAGCCUGGAUAACUGGAACCCCUGUUUCACUGAAGGCUUUACUUCCCUCUCUGACUUUGGGGCAAGGGAAUGUGUGUCUCAUGGAGGUCCCUGGUGUGUCAGCCCCCCCCCCCCCCCAGCUCAUCCUGCCCCAUCCUUAGGAUGCCAUAGAGUGACUCCAUCAGGGUCUAUGGGACGCACAGGUGGCCCAGGUCCAGAGAGUUCAGGGGACAGAGAGGGGCCUGGAGUGGUAAGGUUGUCUGGGGGGAAAAAUGUCAGCAUAUACCUUUGUGGUGUUUUUUUGAUUUUGUUUUUGUUUUGAGGAAGAUUAGCCCUGAGCUAACAUCUGCUGCCAAUCCUCCUCUUUUUGCUGAGGAAGACUGGCCCUGAGCUAACAUUAGUGCCCAUCUUCCUCUACUUUAUAUGUGGGAUGCCUGCCACAGCAUGGCUUGACACAUGGUGGCAUGUCCACACCCGGGAUCCCAACCAGCGAACCCCAGGCCUCCAAAGCGGAACGUGCGCACUUAACCGCUGCGCCACCGGACUGGCCCCUGUACCUUUGUGUUUCUUUUACCCUGUCAACUCUUGAUACUUUGACCGUUUCCUACGGGGUGUUCAGCUGUUUCUUUGUCAGUUUCUA